AGCGUAGGCGGUUUGGUAAGUCUUGUGUGAAAUCUUCGGGCUCAACCCGAAGUCUGCACGAGAAACUGCCGGGCUUGAGUAUGGGAGAGGUGAGUGGAAUUCCUGGUGUAGCGGUGAAAUGCGUAGAUAUCAGAAGGAACACCUGUGGCGAAAGCGGCUCACUGGACCAUAACUGACGCUGAGGCUCGAAAGCUAGGGGAGCAAACAGGAUUAGAUACCCUGGUAGUCCUAGCCCUAAACGAUGACUGCUUGGUGUGGCGGGUACCCAAUCCCGCCGUGCCGUAGCUAACGCGUUAAGCAGUCCGCCUGGGGAGUACGGUCGCAAGGCUGAA
RNAcentral lists this ribosomal RNA (332 nucleotides) under uncultured bacterium. RNAcentral's name for it is "bacterial SSU rRNA". It matches the Rfam family "Bacterial small subunit ribosomal RNA", at positions 568 to 898 of the family's 1533-position model. The record is from RNAcentral.